Molecule: ribosomal RNA, 429 nt
Filed under: Gemmatimonadota bacterium
Lineage: Bacteria; Pseudomonadati; Gemmatimonadota
Description: Gemmatimonadetes bacterium partial 16S ribosomal RNA
Rfam family: Bacterial small subunit ribosomal RNA
Source: RNAcentral
UAGGGAAUCUUCGGCAAUGGACGAAAGUCUGACCGAGCAACGCCGCGUGAGUGAAGAAGGUUUUCGGAUCGUAAAACUCUGUUGUUAGAGAAGAACAAGGACGUUAGUAACUGAACGUCCCCUGACGGUAUCUAACCAGAAAGCUACGGCUAACUACGUGCCAGCAGCCGCGGUAAUACGUAGGUGGCAAGCGUUGUCCGGAUUUAUUGGGCGUAAAGCGAGCGCAGGCGGUUUCUUAAGUCUGAUGUGAAAGCCCCCGGCUCAACCGGGGAGGGUCAUUGGAAACUGGGAGACUGGAGUGCAGAAGAGGAGAGUGGAAUUCCAUGUGUAGCGGUGAAAUGCGUAGAUAUAUGGAGGAACACCAGUGGCGAAGGCGGCUCUCUGGUCUGUAACUGACGCUGAGGCUCGAAAGCGUGGGGAGCAAACAGG